This 429-nucleotide ribosomal RNA is filed under the name Actinomycetes bacterium. Its description in RNAcentral is "Actinobacteria bacterium partial 16S ribosomal RNA". It matches the Rfam family "Bacterial small subunit ribosomal RNA", at positions 355 to 776 of the family's 1533-position model. Lineage: Bacteria; Bacillati; Actinomycetota; Actinomycetes. The record is from RNAcentral.
UAGGGAAUCUUCCGCAAUGGGCGAAAGCCUGACGGAGCAACGCCGCGUGAGUGAUGAAGGUCUUCGGAUCGUAAAACUCUGUUAUUAGGGAAGAACAAAUGUGUAAGUAACUAUGCACGUCUUGACGGUACCUAAUCAGAAAGCCACGGCUAACUACGUGCCAGCAGCCGCGGUAAUACGUAGGUGGCAAGCGUUAUCCGGAAUUAUUGGGCGUAAAGCGCGCGUAGGCGGUUUUUUAAGUCUGAUGUGCAAGCCCACGGCUCAACCGUGGAGGGUCAUUGGAAACUGGAAAACUUGAGUGCAGAAGAGGAAAGUGGAAUUCCAUGUGUAGCGGUGAAAUGCGCAGAGAUAUGGGGGAACACCAGUGGCGAAGGCGACUUUCUGGUCUGUAACUGACGCUGAUGUGCGAAAGCGUGGGGAUCAAACAGG